CGUCUCGGGGUUGCGGUCAUACUCACAGAGUAGCGUUUCACUGUUCACCGUAGUUCAAACACCGUGUGUGUUUCCUGGUCUCGUGUUUCCUGUUUCACUUCCACCGAGUGUCUUACAAUACGCACAGUGCACUUUUAACAUCACACUGCACGUGAGGUCAUUUUAUAUUUCGUCUGUGUUUGGACGUAAUAGCAAUGCGCGUCCGUGUCGGACUCCCGUCCGGACGCUACAGAAGAAUCCGCCUGCUAAUAUGACUUCAGCAGAAUGGCGUGAACUGGCAGAUCUGACAGAGGCGAACCAAGAACAACUCCUGGUUUGCACAAACGUCGCUAGCCGCAUCACGGAUCAAUUGGAGCGGUUGACACGACUCCUCAGUCGCUGUGGGCAUGGCGCCGAUCCGACCAGUUCACAAACGCAUUAUCAGCAGACGUGUCUUGAUGCCCCCUCGGGUCCCCGCGCUGAGCCUGCGGUUGCCCUAUGUGACAGUGAGCCGGCUAAAGCACGCAACCUUGUCAGCUGUGCAAGGCUCGAAGAACAGUGCGUCAGGCAGGGAGUAAUACGACUCAGUAAUGGGCGUUUGACAGAGGAGGAAAGGAGGCGCCGUUUUCUGCAACGCUUGUGCUUUUACUGUGGAGCUGCGGAUCACGUUCAGGUUUCCUGUCCAGUGCGGCCACCCCGUGGAUCCCAAUGGACCGACUUACUGUUGGGCAUGCUACCCUGAGAAGAAACCAGAGGAAGCACAUUCCCAGAGAGAUUCUGCUUCCCAGCCCUUCUCUGCAUCAAGUUCCUCACUAUUGUCUGUCAGCAGUUAAUCUUUGUAAGAUUGGAUAUUUAAUCUGUCCACAGACCUGUCAACUCCCCCAUUUCCAUAAAGGUUGUUCUGUUCCUACCCUGAUCUCCUGUUUUGUCUGCUCCCGUUCUUCCUGUUGUGUUCCUGGUCCUGUGCUUUAGUUUGUUGUCAUGCCACUUUGUUGAAGUCCUGUCAUCUCUCUGUUUCACUCCAGGUGCUUGGUGAAGCACUCGUUACUUCCCUUUGUUCUGUGUUUAUUCUAGCACACCGACACUUUAUUUCAUAAGUUCAUGAUGUGCUGUUCAGAUCACAACCCCUUUCGUCCGAAUUCAGAUGUUACAGUAAACAGCAUCUGCGUCACUGUUUCGUCUG
Molecule: long non-coding RNA, 1162 nt
Filed under: Scleropages formosus (Asian bonytongue)
Lineage: Eukaryota; Metazoa; Chordata; Actinopteri; Osteoglossiformes; Osteoglossidae
Description: lncRNA (ENSSFOG00015031932.1)
Source: RNAcentral